Molecule: ribosomal RNA, 765 nt
Filed under: Vestergrenopsis isidiata
Lineage: Eukaryota; Fungi; Ascomycota; Lecanoromycetes; Peltigerales; Koerberiaceae
Description: SSU rRNA
Rfam family: Eukaryotic small subunit ribosomal RNA
Source: RNAcentral
GGCUCAUUAAUCAGUUAUCGUUUAUUUGAUAGUACCUUGCUACUUGGAUACCUGUGGUAAUUCUAGAGCUAAUACAUGCUAAAAACCUCGACUUCGGGAGGGGUGUAUUUAUUAGAUAAAAAACCAAUGCCCUCCGGGGCUCCUUGGUGAUUCAUAAUAACUCAACGAAUCGCAUGGCCUUGCGCCGGCGAUGGUUCAUUCAAAUUUCUGCCCUAUCAACUUUCGAUGGUAGGAUAGUGGCCUACCAUGGUUUCUACGGGUAACGGGGAAUUAGGGUUCGAUUCCGGAGAGGGAGCCUGAGAAACGGCUACCACAUCCAAGGAAGGCAGCAGGCGCGCAAAUUACCCAAUCCCGACACGGGGAGGUAGUGACAAUAAAUACUGAUACAGGGCUCUUUCGGGUCUUGUAAUUGGAAUGAGUACAAUUUAAAUCCCUUAACGAGGAACAAUUGGAGGGCAAGUCUGGUGCCAGCAGCCGCGGUAAUACCAGCUCCAAUAGCGUAUAUUAAAGUUGUUGCAGUUAAAAAGCUCGUAGUUGAAACUUGGGCCUGGCUGACCGGUCCGCCUCACCGCGUGCACUGGUCCGGCCGGGCCUUUCCUUCUGGGGAGGCCGCAUGCCCUUUAUUGGGUCGUGUCGGCGGAUCCAGGACUUUUACUUUGAAAAAAUUAGAGUGUUCAAAGCAGGCCUAUGCUCGGAUACAUUAGCAUGAAAUAAUGGAAAUAGGACGUGUGGUUCUAUUUUGUUGGUUUCUAGGACCGCCGUAAU